AUUGAACGCUAGCGGGAUGCUUUACACAUGCAAGUCGAACGGCAGCGCGGACUUCGGUCUGGCGGCGAGUGGCGAACGGGUGAGUAAUGUAUGGGAACGUGCCCAGUAGCGGGGGGUAAUAACGGGAAGGGGUGGCGAAUACGGCAUGCUACCAACGGGGGAAACAGGGGGAUGGUAGGACCUUUCCCGAUGGGAGGGGCGGAUUUCGGAUUAGCUAGUUGGUGGGGUAACGGCUAACCAAGGCGACGAUCCGUAGCUGGUUUGAGAGGACGACCAGCCACACUGGGACUGAGACACGGCCCAGACUCCUACGGGAGGCAGCAGUGGGGAAUUUUGGACAAUGGGGGCAAACCUGAUCCAGCCAUCCCGCGUGUGCUAUGAAGGCCUUCGGGUUGUAAAGCACUUUUGGCAGGAAAGAAACGUCGCCGGCUAAUACCCCGUGGAACUGACGGUACCUGCAGAAGAAGCACCGGCUAACUACGUG
Molecule: ribosomal RNA, 484 nt
Filed under: uncultured bacterium
Lineage: Bacteria
Description: partial 16S ribosomal RNA
Rfam family: Bacterial small subunit ribosomal RNA
Source: RNAcentral